This 490-nucleotide long non-coding RNA is filed under the name Pan troglodytes (chimpanzee). RNAcentral's name for it is "lincRNA". Lineage: Eukaryota; Metazoa; Chordata; Mammalia; Primates; Hominidae. The record is from RNAcentral.
UGAAAUCAUCACCACAACCAAGCCAAGUGCAUCCAUCGCUCAGGCAGUCACCGUGGUGUGAGUGCGGUGAGAUGGCUUUGAUCUGGCUCUCAGCCACUUCUGACACUCCUGGUACCUGCAGUCACCACGCUGCACCCAGGCUUCUGUGUGUGUUCCUCCGACAGCUGCAACAGCCCAAAGGGAUGAGAAGAUGGAUACGGCCCGGAGAUAAUGCACACCUCUCGUGGGGACAGUGUCCCCAUCCCCCUCCGGCUGCACUGAAGACCUGGAGCAACGGCUGCCAUCCAUGUGCGAGGACCCCUCGGAGGUUCCUCCUGCACAGACCUUGCUAAGGGUGAGGUGUUUACUAGAAGGAGCACCUUUUCUAGUUAAAAUCUAACUAGAUUCUCCUUGGCAACUUGUCUUACAGAAACAGGUAUAGACUAUCACCUUGCCCAGCUGGGCGCAUCUUCGGAGGGAGGCCUGGGGCCACGUGCACCUAAUGAAGGUG